GACGAACGCUGGCGGCGUGCUUAACACAUGCAAGUCGAACGGAAAGGCCCUGCUUUUGUGGGGUGCUCGAGUGGCGAACGGGUGUGUAACACGUGAGUAACCUGCCCUUGACUUUGGGAUAACUUCAUGAAACUUGGGCUAAUACCUGAUAGGAUCUCCUGCUGCUUGGUGUUGGUUGGAAAGUUUCGGCGGUUGGGGAUGGACUCGCUGCUUAUCAGCUUGUUGGUGGGGUAGUGGCUUACCAAGGCUUUGACGGGUAGCCGGCCUGAGAGGGUGACCGGCAACAUGGGGACGGAGAUACGGCCCAGACUGCAACGGGAGGCAGCAGUGGGGAAUAUUGCACAAUGGGCGGAAGCCUGAUGCAGAAACGCAGGGUGCGGGAUGACGGCCUUCGGGUUGUAAACAGCUUUGGCAUGUGACGAAGAGUGAGUGGCGGUAAUGGGUAAAGAAGCACCGGCUAACUACGUG
Molecule: ribosomal RNA, 468 nt
Filed under: uncultured bacterium
Lineage: Bacteria
Description: partial 16S ribosomal RNA
Rfam family: Bacterial small subunit ribosomal RNA
Source: RNAcentral